CAGUGGCGAACGGGUGAGUAACACGUGGGCAAUCUGCCCUGCACUCUGGGACAAGCCCUGGAAACGGGGUCUAAUACCGGAUAUGACCGUCUUCCGCAUGGUGGAUGGUGGAAAGCUCCGGCGGUGCAGGAUGAGCCCGCGGCCUAUCAGCUUGUUGGUGGGGUGAUGGCCUACCAAGGCGACGACGGGUAGCCGGCCUGAGAGGGCGACCGGCCACACUGGGACUGAGACACGGCCCAGACUCCUACGGGAGGCAGCAGUGGGGAAUAUUGCACAAUGGGCGCAAGCCUGAUGCAGCGACGCCGCGUGAGGGAUGACGGCCUUCGGGUUGUAAACCUCUUUCAGCAGGGAAGAAGCGCAAGUGACGGUACCUGCAGAAGAAGCACCGGCUAACUACGUGCCAGCAGCCGCGGUAAUACGUAGGGUGCGAGCGUUGUCCGGAAUUAUUGGGCGUAAAGAGCUCGUAGGCGGCUUGUCGCGUCGGAUGUGAAAGCCCGGGGCUUAACUCCGGGUCUGCAUUCGAUACGGGCAGGCUAGAGUUCGGUAGGGGAGAUCGGAAUUCCUGGNGC
Molecule: ribosomal RNA, 569 nt
Filed under: Streptomyces sp. 384D01
Lineage: Bacteria; Bacillati; Actinomycetota; Actinomycetes; Kitasatosporales; Streptomycetaceae
Description: bacterial SSU rRNA
Rfam family: Bacterial small subunit ribosomal RNA
Source: RNAcentral